RNAcentral lists this ribosomal RNA (429 nucleotides) under bacterium. RNAcentral's name for it is "partial 16S ribosomal RNA". It matches the Rfam family "Bacterial small subunit ribosomal RNA", at positions 355 to 776 of the family's 1533-position model. The record is from RNAcentral.
UAGGGAAUCUUCGGCAAUGGGGGCAACCCUGACCGAGCAACGCCGCGUGAGUGAAGAAGGUUUUCGGAUCGUAAAGCUCUGUUGUAAGAGAAGAACGUGUGUGAGAGUGGAAAGUUCACACAGUGACGGUAACUUACCAGAAAGGGACGGCUAACUACGUGCCAGCAGCCGCGGUAAUACGUAGGUCCCGAGCGUUGUCCGGAUUUAUUGGGCGUAAAGCGAGCGCAGGCGGUUUAAUAAGUCUGAAGUUAAAGGCAGUGGCUCAACCAUUGUUCGCUUUGGAAACUGUUAAACUUGAGUGCAGAAGGGGAGAGUGGAAUUCCAUGUGUAGCGGUGAAAUGCGUAGAUAUAUGGAGGAACACCGGUGGCGAAAGCGGCUCUCUGGUCUGUAACUGACGCUGAGGCUCGAAAGCGUGGGGAGCAAACAGG